This 468-nucleotide ribosomal RNA is filed under the name uncultured bacterium. RNAcentral describes it as "partial 16S ribosomal RNA". It matches the Rfam family "Bacterial small subunit ribosomal RNA", at positions 355 to 839 of the family's 1533-position model. The record is from RNAcentral.
UGGGGAAUAUUGCACAAUGGGCGAAAGCCUGAUGCAGCAACGCCGCGUGAGUGAUGAAGGUCUUCGGAUUGUAAAGCUCUGUCUUUUGGGACGAUAAUGACGGUACCAAAGGAGGAAGCCACGGCUAACUACGUGCCAGCAGCCGCGGUAAUACGUAGGUGGCGAGCGUUGUCCGGAUUUACUGGGCGUAAAGGGUGCGUAGGCGGAUGUUUAAGUGAGAUGUGAAAUACCCGGGCUUAACUUGGGUGCUGCAUUUCAAACUGGAUAUCUAGAGUGCAGGAGAGGAGAAUGGAAUUCCUAGUGUAGCGGUGAAAUGCGUAGAGAUUAGGAAGAACACCAGUGGCGAAGGCGAUUCUCUGGACUGUAACUGACGCUGAGGCACGAAAGCGUGGGUAGCAAACAGGAUUAGAUACCCUGGUAGUCCACGCCGUAAAACGAUGAGUACUAGGUGUAGGAGGUAUCGACCCC